RNAcentral lists this ribosomal RNA (468 nucleotides) under uncultured bacterium. Its description in RNAcentral is "partial 16S ribosomal RNA". It matches the Rfam family "Bacterial small subunit ribosomal RNA", at positions 28 to 507 of the family's 1533-position model. The record is from RNAcentral.
GACGAACGCUGGCGGCGUGCUUAACACAUGCAAGUCGAACGGAAAGGCCCUGCUUUUGUGGGUGGUUGGAUGGGCAACGGGGGGAGUAACACUUGGUUAACCGCCCCUGGACUUUGGAAUAACUUCAGGAAAUGGGGGCUAAUACCGGUAAGGGCCUCCGGUGGCAGGGGGGGGGUGGGAAGGUUUCGGCGGUUGGGGAUGGACUCGCGGCUUAUCAGCUUGUUGGUGGGGUAGUGGCUUACCAAGGCUUUGACGGGUAGCCGGCCUGAGAGGGUGACCGGCCACAUUGGGACUGAGAUACGGCCCAGACUCCUACGGGAGGCAGCAGUGGGGAAUAUUGCACAAUGGGCGGAAGCCUGAUGCAGCAACGCCGCGUGCGGGAUGACGGCCUUCGGGUUGUAAACCGCUUUCGCCUGUAACGAAGCGUGAGUGACGGUAAUGGGUAAAGAAGCACCGGCUAACUACGUG